This is a long non-coding RNA of Pezoporus flaviventris, 2448 nucleotides long. RefSeq lists it as uncharacterized. The transcript has 2 exons. The record is from RefSeq and is a predicted model, not a curated record. NCBI's taxonomy places the organism in Eukaryota, Metazoa, Chordata, Aves, Psittaciformes, Psittacidae.
UAAGAAGAUGGAGAGAUGACAAAAUGAAUAAAGAAAGGAGGCACAGAAGAGGAAACAGAAGUAGCAGGUAUGAACUGGACAGCACCAUUGAUUUAUGAAUGAAAAUCUAAAAGUUUUUCUGUUUCAGGUGCAAAAAUCAAAUAGCCUUGGGCAGUUCUACCUUUGCAGCUGAGAAGUCCAUGGUAUGUCACCCAAGAAAAUAUACAUCUUGAUGAUAUGUCACAUGCCUACAGGUGCCAAGUGGAUCAUUUUACUGUGACAGACAUUUAAUUUAUUUAAUUGUAAAAUAACUCCCCCUUCCCCAUACGCAUAAGGAGAGUCUGGGCUUAAAACAGGGUUCAAGCACAAUGUUUCAUUUCUGCAGCACAGAAGCUGGGACAUACGCUUUGUAUUAUUUGCAGAGAAAUCAAAAGCCACAGUCAGACCAAUAAGGAUGGAAAAACUUAAGUGUCUAGUUAACUACCCAUCACACAGGUUUUCUAUGAAACCAGUUUAGAGGACCAGAUAGGAAUCUCAGGAUGAGGCCUUCUGAAAGUGCCUUUCUUUUACUCCUCCAAUAGGAUGGUUAACUAUGGGCUUCACCCUUGACCUUUACAUGGUAGAAGACUGGUGAGAUGUACCCUACCAUAAGUACUUAAUUUUGUCGUCAAGUCUUCAGGUAUCCAAAUUGAAGACAGCGAGAAGAGAUUCAGACUUAGUAUUCAGAACUUUCUAUAUCAGAUGUGAGUCAGCAAUCACAUCAUUAGUAGAGCAGCAAAAUAAUCUUCUUUUUGACCGGUGAAAGGGAAGUCUAGCUCCAUGCCACCGUGGGCAUUUCUUGCCAUAAGCUUUCCACAAUGAGGCACAAAUAUUUCUUGGAGACAGUCUGCUAAUUUUUGUGAGUUAGUGCUGCAAUCUGCGAUCUGCAAGCUGGUUAAGGCAUCUGAUGCUUCUCUUUAAGGUGUUACUGUGUCAGUUUCAUUAAGAUUCUAGGGGUUAUCACAUAAAAUGCUAGUAUGGAACAGAAGUAGAAAGAAGCCACUGAUCAUCAAAAUUAUCAUUAUAAUAUCCUUUCAAUACCUCCAGAUUAGCAGUUCACUAAACAUGACAUUUGCUUUUUGAAAGGCAUGUGCUCUGCAUGAACAACGUUUUAAUGUCUCAUUGUUUAAUGGAAGUUGACAAUGAUAGGUGAUGUAUAAACAGGCUGAAGAUACUCUGAAGAGAGCUCUACCUGCAUGGACAGGAAAGUCCUUGCUAAUUGCAUGCAAAGGAAGCUCGGGGCCUCUACUGGAGAACUUACAGUCUUUUGUAAUUAAUACUGUAAUUGGAGGUUGCUGGAAAUGCUCCUUGAGCUCCUGCCAGGGAAUGAGUGCUUCAGAAAGCUGUUGACGCCAUGCCGUACACCAGCUGAAACAACCUCCUCGGCUGCAGUAGAUGACAUAGAGCUCCUGGGUUGGCAAAACUCAUCUGAGCAGUGAAAUGCACAAAGCUUUUCACUUCCAAUGUUAUCACAGUGACAUCAGUACCAUUCAGCCAUCUGACAGCUGCAUCACCCAGGGUGGCAAGGCUGAGCUGUCCUCCCUCUACAUUUUAGUGCAGGCAGCCCAACAUCAUGCUCCUGCCAGCUGUCCUAGAGCCACCCAGCAGGGUCUGGGACAGGCUAGGUCACCACCAUGAUGUCUGCUCUUGGCAGAGGUGACCAGGCUCAUUCCAGCCCCACUAUUUCAGAUUGAAAAUGGAUAAAUAUACGCCAGAGAAGUCGAAGCUUAGAAACAAGGCUGCUUCCUGUGAUCUUUGCCUUCACUUGGGAACAUAAUUAUUGGCUUCCAGUGCACCAGCACUAGUCAUGGGGAUGCCAGUCAUGUAAUAAUAUCAUGAAGGCAGAAAUGACCACCAGAAAGGGGUGGCAGGUAAUUUUAGCUAGAAACCACAGGCUUAAACACAUUUCCUCUGGAGGUGAGCAGAUCUUUGCAGAGCAAUUAUUUGCAACUCAUCUGCAGUGACUGCGACCAGUGUCAGCUGUUAAGUAAUAAGUUAUUUUUAUCCACUGCAGCUCUACAGCAUCUCUGAGGGUGAUGGCAUCUCGCCAAGGCUUUGGAAGUGCUGCAUGAGCUGACACACAAAGACAAAUGGUGGAGGCAAGCCUGGAGGACAUUUCUGACUCAACUUUACGGAGGAAAUCAAAUCCAAAUAUACCAGGUGAUAUUUGGACCCCUACUGAAGUGAGUGGCAGUGCCAUCACCAAGGCUAUUGACCUUGCCCAGGAUGUGGCCAUGUAGUUGGAUAACCACUUCCUUAGAGAAGUCCUGUAUCCUCUAGAGUUCUAGGGACACAUAUAUUUGGAUCAAACCCUAUUAGUUUUGCUGACACAGUGCUUCCCUUGAAAUCAGUGGUUGGGGGUAUCUUUUAGCAGAAGAUGAACAGGAAGAUUUCAUGGGUUUGGUAUGCAUUAAAGUGCAUAUUGUACUG